RNAcentral lists this ribosomal RNA (467 nucleotides) under uncultured bacterium. Its description in RNAcentral is "partial 16S ribosomal RNA". It matches the Rfam family "Bacterial small subunit ribosomal RNA", at positions 29 to 507 of the family's 1533-position model. The record is from RNAcentral.
ACGAACGCUGGCGGCGUGCUUAACACAUGCAAGUCGAACGGAAAGGCCCUGCUUUUGUGGGGUGCUCGCGUGGCGAACGGGUGAGUAACACGUGAGUAACCUGCCCUUGACUUUGGGAUAACUUCAGGAAACUGGGGCUAAUACCGGAUAGGAGCUCCUGCUGCAUGGUGGGGUUUGGAAAGUUUCGGCGGUUGGGGAUGGACUCGCGGCUUAUCAGCUUGUUGGUGGGGUAGUGGCUUACCAAGGCUUUGACGGGUAGCCGGCCUGAGAGGGUGACCGGCCACAUUGGGACUGAGAUACGGCCCAGACUCCUACGGGAGGCAGCAGUGGGGAAUAUUGCACAAUGGGCGGAAGCCUGAUGCAGCAACGCCGCGUGCGGGAUGACGGCCUUCGGGUUGUAAACCGCUUUCGCCUGUGACGAAGCGUGAGUGACGGUAAUGGGUAAAGAAGCACCGGCUAACUACGUG